AUCGACCAUUAUUUUCACAGGGGAAAAAGGCAUCUUGCUUCUAUGGUGGAGCACCUCCGUGUUGUGCUGGUGCAUGAAAGCUUUUCUGGGCCUUCCUGGUACGUUCCCUCCGAUCUCUGUAGAUGCCCAACCAACGGAGAUGUUUCUGAACUUCAUCAAUUUAUUAUUUUCACUAUAUUAAUGUGUUCAUGAAUUUUAAGAUUCAUAGUUUUUAUAUUUGAGAUUCAAAGAUUUUUUAUUCAAUUUUAUUUGAAGAUCGAUGACCAAUAAAGAAGAAUAAAAUCAAUAUUACUCAAUGAGCAAUUAUAUUUUUAUUUCUUUAUUUUUUUAGUAAAAAUACAAUAAGCGAAUUAAUAAGGUGAAGCACUAAAUAUUAUCGAAAAUUCCAUAAUUUACAAAAAUAUUUUUAAAUUGUGGAAUUUUUUUUUCUAAAAAUUAGAAUUAUAAUUUAUUUAUUUAUUGUAUUUUUUUGCUGCAAUUGGCUAUUGUUUGGCUGCUAUUUUGCUGCUGCUGUUUUUGCUGCUAUUUUUGCUGCUGUUUUUUUUUGGCUUUGUUGCAAUUUGCUGCUGUUUGGCUCCUAAUUUGCAGCUGGUUUUGUUGCUGUUUUUGUUGUUGUUUUCGUGUUGGUUUGUUGGUUUUUAAGAUGUUGGUUUGCUGUUGUUUUUUGUUGCUGUCAUUUUUUCUCUAUAUCCAUAAAUAAAUUCUAUAUAAUGGUUAACAAAAUAGAAGUGACAACUAGUCGAAUUGUUGAAUGAGCUAUUAUAUAUGAGAUUUUCAAUACACUUUUGAGGCUCCUUCAUGUUUUCGGUCACUAUUUGUUAUUAUACUUUUGCUGUAAUUUUUUAGUGGAUUAACUUAUUUCGUAGUGGAUUAUGUUAAUAUUUUAAUGGAUUUCGAUAAUUUUUGUAGUAGGUUCUGACGAGAUUAUAGUGGAUUUUAAAUUCUUGCUUUGGAGACCGAUUUUUAGUGAAUGAAUUAAAUUGACACGUUGUUGUCUUAUUUUUCUUUGGUUUAGGUUCUUGCACAAGCGGGUGAUGGCAGCAAGUGGGACGAUGUUGGGUGAUGAUAAGUUUGUAGUGUUUAUCACCGGGUCACUCUAACCUAACGAAAACCACGAGCAACACUAUCAUAAAUUCGGAAGUUUGUAGUGGAUUUUGAUAAGUUUGUUGUUGAUGUAUAAGUGUUAUUCUACGAUAAGAUUUUAGUGGAUUAACCAUAUAUUACGUUAAUUUUGUAGUGGAUUACUUUAACCUAUAAAGUGGA
RNAcentral lists this long non-coding RNA (1263 nucleotides) under Erythranthe guttata (spotted monkey flower). Its description in RNAcentral is "long non-coding RNA (EGUT_LNC003303)". Lineage: Eukaryota; Viridiplantae; Streptophyta; Magnoliopsida; Lamiales; Phrymaceae. The record is from RNAcentral.